This 253-nucleotide ribosomal RNA is filed under the name uncultured bacterium. RNAcentral's name for it is "partial 16S ribosomal RNA". It matches the Rfam family "Bacterial small subunit ribosomal RNA", at positions 524 to 776 of the family's 1533-position model. The record is from RNAcentral.
UACGAGGGGGGCGAGCGUUGUUCGGAAUUAUUGGGCGUAAAGGGUGCGUAGGCGGCGCGGUAAGUCGGGUGUGAAAUCUCGGAGCUUAACUCCGAAACUGCAUUCGAUACUGCCGUGCUUGAGGACUGGAGAGGAGACUGGAAUUUACGGUGUAGCGGUGAAAUGCGUAGAUAUCGUAAGGAAGACCAGUGGCGAAGGCGGGUCUCUGGACAGUUCCUGACGCUGAGGCACGAAGGUCAGGGGAGCAAACGGG